AGAGGCCGGGAUGAUGGGGACGACACGACGCGAGGCGAGGCGGAGCUUUUUGAAAAAUAUUUUCUCUCUUUUUUUUUCUCACUCCCCUUCGGCUUUUCGUUUCUCGGGGUGGGAGGAGGAAGGAAGGAAAACUGCAACUAGCCGCUACGCACAAGAGGAAGGAAAGGAAGCAAAGGAAAGGAAGGCCGCUGCGUCUGCGAGAGAGACUGCGACCUCUGUAGCCU
This 224-nucleotide long non-coding RNA is filed under the name Oryza brachyantha (malo sina). Its description in RNAcentral is "long non-coding RNA (OBRA_LNC000418)". Lineage: Eukaryota; Viridiplantae; Streptophyta; Magnoliopsida; Poales; Poaceae. The record is from RNAcentral.